UACGGGGGGAGCGAACGUUGUUCGGAAUCACUGGGCUUAAAGGGCGCGUAGGCGGGCGAUCAAGUCCGGGGUGAAAUCUUUCGGCUCAACCGGAAAACUGCCUUGGAUACUGAUCGUCUUGAGGGAGGUAGGGGCAGGUGGAACUUCCGGUGGAGCGGUGAAAUGCGUUGAUAUCGGAAGGAAUGCCGGUGGCGAAAGCGGCCUGCUGGAUCUCUUCUGACGCUGAUGCGCGAAAGCUAGGGUAGCGAACGGG
RNAcentral lists this ribosomal RNA (253 nucleotides) under uncultured bacterium. RNAcentral describes it as "partial 16S ribosomal RNA". It matches the Rfam family "Bacterial small subunit ribosomal RNA", at positions 524 to 776 of the family's 1533-position model. The record is from RNAcentral.